RNAcentral lists this transfer RNA (66 nucleotides) under Mirza coquereli (Coquerel's mouse lemur). RNAcentral describes it as "tRNA-Trp". The record is from RNAcentral. Lineage: Eukaryota; Metazoa; Chordata; Mammalia; Primates; Cheirogaleidae. RNAcentral also lists the same sequence under 1 other name.
AAAUUUAGGUUAAAUAGACCAAGAGCCUUCAAAGCGCUAAGAAAGUAAACUAGUACUUAAUUUCUG